This is a non-coding RNA of Myotis brandtii (Brandt's bat), 75 nucleotides long. The record is from Rfam. NCBI's taxonomy places the organism in Eukaryota, Metazoa, Chordata, Mammalia, Chiroptera, Vespertilionidae.
CGAGGUUCUAGGAUGCCGCACCUCGGAAUCAGGCUCCCUCCUCUUUGGUUCCAGGUGCGUCAAUCGAGAACCGCA